RNAcentral lists this unclassified non-coding RNA (217 nucleotides) under uncultured Basidiomycota. RNAcentral's name for it is "sequence contains ITS2". The record is from RNAcentral. Lineage: Eukaryota; Fungi; Basidiomycota.
CAAUAUCACAAACUCCUUUUGUCUUAUUAAGCUGAAAGGGUGUUUUGAAUAUGUGGAUGUUGCUGAGAGAGAUUUUCUUCCAGCUCUUCUGAAAUAUAUUAGCAAAACUUAUUGCUGGGUUUAUCUUCUGAUAUGAUAAUUAUCGAUAUCAGUUGAAUUCCGGAUCGUGAUUUUGCUUUCAAACCUGUCUUGUAUGUUGCAAGACAACAAUAUCAAU